This 4709-nucleotide long non-coding RNA is filed under the name Homo sapiens (human). RNAcentral's name for it is "KHDC1 antisense RNA 1, transcript variant 14 (KHDC1-AS1)". Lineage: Eukaryota; Metazoa; Chordata; Mammalia; Primates; Hominidae. The record is from RNAcentral.
AAGCAACCCAGAGCCCUCCUCCCGCCUGCUCUGUGUAGGAGACAGCCUGCGGAGCCCACUGCCGGCGCGCAGAGAGCCCAGCAGCUCUUGAGUCCAGGAAGCAAGGGUGGGAGGAGGGACGAGCCAGUGGCAAUGACCCAGACCCGGACGACCCCCAUUGCUGAGCCAGCGGAGCUGCUUGGAGGCAGAGGUUGCAGUGAGCUGAGAUUUUGCGACUACACUCCAACCUGGGCAACAGAGCGGGACUCCAUUCCAAAAAAAUAAGAAAAACAGAAAAAUAAUAAUUACAUCUGCAAAGACCUUAUUUCCAGGUGUUUUGUUAUAUAGAGACAGGGUCUCAGUGUUGCCCAGGCUAGUCUCAAGUGAUCCAUGCAAGUCUCAACUCCCGACCUCAAGUGAUCCUCCUUCCCAGGCCUCCCAAAGUGCUGGGAUUACAAGUUGAAUUGGAUUUCCCUGUGCAGCAGGCAAGAAGAAUCUGUUGGAUGAUUACAACAUUGCUGGAUUGAUAGCAGCCUCACCUGCCAGGCUCAAACUCCAGAUCCAAAGUCCACAAAUAUAUCAUAAAUCUGAAGAGGAACUGGGAGAAGCUUCUGCUGGCAGCUCAUGCCAUUGUUGCCAUUGAAAACCCUGCUGAUGUGUCAUAUCCUGCAGGAAUACUAGCUAGUGGGCUGUGCUGAAGUUUGCUGCUGCUGCUGGAGCCACAUGUAUUGCUGGUCACUUCACUUCUGGAACCUUUGCUAACCAGAUCCAAUCAUCUUCUGCCACCCACAUCUUCUGGUGGUUACUGAUUCUAGGGCUAACUAUCAGCCUCUCUCAGGGGCUUCUUAUGGUAACCUACCUACCUACCACUGCUGUAUGUAACAGAUUCUCCUCUGAGCUAUGUGGAUAUUGUCAUCCCAUGCAACAACAAGGAAGCUCAAUCACUGAGUCUAAUGUAGUGGAUGCUGGCCCAGGAAGCUCUGUGCAUGUGUUGCACCAUCUCCCAUGAUCAUGCCUGAUCUCUACUUCUAUAGAGAUCCUGAAGAGAUUGAAAAGGAAGAGUAGGCUGCAGCUGAAAAAGGAGGAAUUUCAAAGUGAAUGGACUGCUGUAGUGCAAGUUUACUGCUACUCAAUCUGAGGUUGCAGACUGGUUUAAAGACAUGCAGGUGCCCUCUGUGCCUAUUCAGCAGUUCCCUACUGAAGAUUGGAGCACUUAGCCUACCAUGAAUGACUGGUCUGCAACUUCCACUGCUCAGACCACUGAAUGGGUAAGAAUAACCACUGAGUGGCCUUAAGCUGUUCUUCCACAAGCUCUUAAACAAGAUGGAAAUAACGCUGAUGGAAAUAAACAACAGUUUCCAAGAAAACACGAACAGCUGAAGUGGCAAUGUUUAAGUAACAUCUGGUAGACUUUAACAUGAAUGUUAUUAAGCAGGAAAUUAUGAUCUUUUAAGUUGGAACAUGUAAUGUUAAUCCUUUUGCACCAAAAUAUCUCUUUAAGUCUAAAUUAUCCACUUUUUUUUUUAAUUCUUCGUAGAGAUAGAGGUUUCGCUUUGUUGCCCAGGCUGUUCUUGACUUCCUAACUUCAAGCAAUCCUUCUGCCUCAGCCUCCCAGAGUGCUGGGAUUAUAGGCAUUUGCCACCGUGCCUGGUGUACCCAGUUUCUGUUAUCAACAGAAUGCAGUGGUGUAUGGUUGCUAAAGGGUCCCAAGAUCAGGACCUACGUUAAGGUGGAUUUUGAAUUAUUUAAAAUUCUGAUUUUGUUUUAUUUUUAAUUAAUCUUUGGGGGAAGGAUGGGAGGGGGGUGAGGGUUGAAGAAGUAAACAUUGUACCUAUUGGAUACAAUGUUUAAUAUUUGUGUGAUGGGCACACUGGAAGCCCAAACCUCACUAUUACACAAUACAUUCAUGUAACAAGCCUGCACAUGCACCUCCUGAAUCUAUUUUUAAAAAUUUAAUUCUCUAGCACAGACUCCCUUUUUUUGGUAAGAUGGCGGGGUACGACUUAACUACUCGCAUCACGCACCUUUUGGAUCGGCAUCUAGUCUUUCCGCUCCUUGAGUUUCUCUCUGUAAAGGAGAUAUAUAAAGAAAAGGAAUUAUUACAAGGUAAAUUGGACCUUCUUAGUGAUGCCAACAUGGUAGACUUUGCUAUGGAUGCAUACAAAAACCUUUAUUCUGAUGAUAUUCCUCAUGCUUUGAAAGAGAAUAGAACCACAGUUGUUGCACAACUGAAACAGCUUCAGGCAGAAACAGAACUAAUUGUGAAAAUGUUUGAAGAUCCAGAAACGACAAGGCAAAUGCGGUCAACCAGGGAUGGUAGGAUGCUCUUUGACUACCUGGCGGACAAGCAUGGUUUUAGGCAGGAGUAUUUAGAUACAUUCUACACAUAUGCAAAAUUCCAGUAUGAAUGUGGGAAUUACUCAGGAGCAGCAGAAUAUCUUUAUUUUUUCAGAGUGUUGGUUCCAGCAACAGACAGAAAUGCUGUAAGUUCACUCUGGGGAAAGCUGGCCUCUGAAAUCUUAAAGCAGAAUUGGGAUGCAGACAUGGAAGACCUUACAUGGUUAAAAGAGACCAUAGAUAAUAAUUCUGUGAGUUCUCCACUCCAGUCUCUUCAGCAGAGAGCAUGGCUCGUUCACUGGUCUCUGUUUUCUUCAAUCACCCCAAAGGUUGUGAUAAUAUUGUUGAUCUCUUCCUUUACCAGCCACAGCAUCUUAAUGUGUCCACACAUUCUUCACUAUUUGACUACAGCAGUCAUAGCAAACAAGGAUGUUCGAAAACGUUGGCAGGUGCUAAAAGAUCUAGGUAAAGUUACUCAACAGGAGUCUUACACAUAUAAAGACCCAAUUACAGAAUUUGUUGAAUGCUUAUAGAUUAACUUUGACUUAGAUGGGGCUAAGAAAAAGCUGAGAGAAUGUGAAUCAGUGCUUGUGAACGACUUCUUGGUGGCUUGUCUUAAGGAUUUCAUUGACAAUGCCCAUCUCUUCAUAUUUGAGACUUUCUGUCACAUCCACCAGUGUAUCAGCAUUAACAUGUUGGCAGACAAAUUGAACAUGACUCCAGAUGAAACUGAAAGGUGGAUUGUAAAUGUGAUUAGAAAUGCAAGACUGGAUGCCAAGAUUGAUUCUAAAUUAGGUCAUGUGGUUAUGGUAACAAUGUACUCUCACCCUAUCAGCAAGUGAUUGAAAAGACCAAAAGCCUUUCUUUUAGAAGCUAGAUUUUGGCCAUGAAUAUUGAGAAGAAACUUAAUGACAAUAGCAGGUCAGAGGCUCCUAACUGGGCAACUCAAGAUUCUGGCUUCUACUGAAGAAACAUAAGGAAAAGAUUUUAAAAAAACUCUAAAAGAAAGAUGAAAUAAUAAAACUAUUAUAUAAAGGGUGACUUACAUUUUGGAAACAACAUAUUGAGUGUAAAUUGUGAAGAAUUGGAAUAAAAUUGACUGAUUCAAAAAAAUUUAAUUCACAAAAAAAUUUUAAUCCUUUUAAGCUAAUUAUAGAUUCACAUGUAGUUGUAAGAAGUUACAAAGAGGCUAGGUGCAGUAGCUGACGCCCAUGAUCCCCGCACUUUGGGAGGCCGAGGCAGGCAGAUCUCUUGAGGCCAGGAGUUUGAGACUAGCCUGGCCAACAUGGCAAAACCCCAUCUCUACAAAAAAUUAGCAAAGCAUGGUGGCACAUGCCUGUAAUUACAGCUACUUGGGAGGCUGAGGCAUGAGAAUCACUUGACCUGGGAUUACAAGUGUAAUCCCAGCCAUAGGCUGGGUGCAGUGGCUCACACCUGUAAUCCCAGCACUUUGGGAGGCCAAGGUACGGGUGGAUCACCUGAGGUCAAGAGUUCAAGACCAGCCUGGCCAACAUGGUGAAACCCCGUCUCUACAAAAACACAAAAAUUAGCCGGGCAUGAUGGUGCGCACCUGUAAUCCCAGCUACUCAGGAGGCUGAGGCAGGAGAAUCGCAUGAACCCAGGAGGCAGAUGUUGCAGUGAGCCAAGAUCACGCCAUUGCACUCCAGCCUGGGCAACAGAGUGAGACUCCACCUCAAAAAAAAAAAAACAAAAAAAAACCACCAGCCAUUUGGGAAGCCAAGGCAGGAUUGCUUGAGACCAACCAGAAGUUCAAGGUUGCCUGGGCAACAGAGCAAGACUGUCUCGAGACAAAACAAAAAGUCAGCAUCUUCUGCCCACUUUUACUUUAACAUACAUUUAUGGAUCUAUUGUCUCUUUCCCUGUUCUAAAACUUUAAAUUUCACAAGAAUGAAGAUUUUGCUGUCUUGUUUCCUGCUGUGUCCCCAGCAUAAACAGCAUAAAGAAGUGCCAUAAGAUAGAAAUUUUUGUUUUCUGUUCACCAGUAUAUCCACAGCACCUAGAACAGCAUCUGCUUUAGACUUAUUAGAUGAAGACUUAAAAAAAAAAGGAACAGCACUUCUGCACAUAUUUAGCACUUGAUACAUAUUUGUGGAAUAAUUUCUAUCAUAACUAGCAGCUACUUCCUAAUUUGAUAUGUAGCAUCCCGUAUUAACAGGACUUUUGUGAAUGGAGAGGACAUCUAUUUAUUCUUUGUUAUGUGCCAAAUAUAUUUGUAUUAAUCAUAACUCUUAAUAUUCCUUUAAAAUUAAAUAAUUGUUUCCACAGCUCUUAAAAUAGAAUUUAGGAACCUAGCAACAUGCCACUCAUCCAUUAACAGUGAUAAAUUAUUUAAUUUUAUAAACUUUUCAUUAAAGUAACUGAUAUAGUUUGGA